Molecule: ribosomal RNA, 497 nt
Filed under: uncultured bacterium
Lineage: Bacteria
Description: partial 16S ribosomal RNA
Rfam family: Bacterial small subunit ribosomal RNA
Source: RNAcentral
GAUGAACGCUGGCGGCGUGCCUAAUACAUGCAAGUCGAGCGAACGGACGAGAAGCUUGCUUUUCUGAUGUUAGCGGCGGACGGGUGAGUAACACGUGGAUAACCUACCUAUAAGACUGGGAUAACUUCGGGAAACCGGAGCUAAUACCGGAUAAUAUUUUGAACCGCAUGGUUCAAAAGUGAAAGACGGUCUUGCUGUCACUUAUAGAUGGAUCCGCGCUGCAUUAGCUAGUUGGUAAGGUAACGGGUUACCAAGGCAACGAUGCGUAGCCGACCUGAGAGGGUGAUCGGCCACACGGGAACUGAGACGCGGUCCAGACUCCUACGGGAGGCAGCAGUAGGGAAUCUUCCGCAAUGGGCGAAAGCCUGACGGAGCAACGCCGCGUGAGUGAUGAAGGUCUUCGGAUCGUAAAACUCUGUUAUUAGGGAAGAACAUAUGUGUAAGUAACUGUGCACAUCUUGACGGUACCUAAUCAGAAAGCCACGGCUAACUACGUG